Molecule: non-coding RNA, 1153 nt
Organism: Cricetulus griseus (Chinese hamster)
Lineage: Eukaryota; Metazoa; Chordata; Mammalia; Rodentia; Cricetidae
Source: RefSeq, a predicted model, not a curated record
CUAAAAACAAGCCUAAGCUUGUUUUAUAACUAAUAAUAAGUCUCUAUGUGGUUGAGAGCUGGCAGUCCAGUCGAAAAACUCUACCUACAAGAAAUGGAAUAAAUUGUCACUCAAAAUAAUUUACAGUGCAUUCAAGAUGGCUCAGUGGAUGCUUACUACCAAGCCCGAUUACCCAACUUUGCCUAUGGGACCCACAUGGUAGAAGAAGAGAACUGAAUCCCGGCUUUUCUGAAACGCUCAUGCAGUAAAUGACUACUCCUGUCCCCUCCUCAAAUAGUCUUCUCUCGAAUGACAUCAGAAUUGCUAACCCACCUCUAGCCAGGCUCAAGAAGAGGCUCUGCCAACUGUGCUCACUCUAUGCCAUGUCCCUUUUCAGUAGCAGUGGCUGGGCCUCAGCAUCUCUCACCCAAGCUCCCCAGGACCCUGGAGAAUAACCACAUUAUGAUGGGACCUGAGAAAGUACUGCUAGAGAGAAAGUUUACACAAAGACCUUCUGUAGGUCUGACAGGAAAACUACUGUGGAAGAAAUUUGUUCACCUGCUUCAUCCAAGUGUUUCAAAGUUUGGAUACAAAUAAUUAGUUUUUCCAGGUGUUGGUGGUGCACACCUUUAAUCCCAGCACUUGGGAAGCAGAGGCAGGUGGAUCUCAGUGAGUUUGAAGCCAGCCUAGUCUACAAAGUGAGUUCCAAGACAACUAGCUAGGACUGUUACAUAGAGAAACCCUGUCUCAAAACAAAACAAAACCCAAAAGGAUUAGUUUCUAAUUCUAGGUGAGAUUUGGUGUGAACUGUUUGAUGCCAUGUUAGCCAUUGUCUUCUAAUACCCCUGCAGCAGAUGUGCUCACCAGCACCAGGGAGGAGUGUUGGAACAUGGUUCAUGAACCAAGCUGUGGGAGGAGAUUUCUGAGACCUUGUGAGAAAACUCCAGGCACCCUCUCCCAGGUUCAUGCUGCCAACUAGAGCAGUAAACAGAGGAGAACCAGCAUUUUAUAAUGGCUUCUUUCCAAGGACAUUCAAGAUAAAAUAAUCCACCAAGAUCCUGCUCAUUCAUGUCCCUUUGUGUCCUGUCCUAACUGUACCUGCUGGGUAGCCAUUCAGAUAUGCUGAGCAAAAAAUAAAAAAAAUAAAAAAAUAAAAGAUUUUUAAAAAAUUGCA